RNAcentral lists this unclassified non-coding RNA (500 nucleotides) under uncultured Glomus. Its description in RNAcentral is "SSU rRNA". It matches the Rfam family "Eukaryotic small subunit ribosomal RNA", at positions 591 to 1092 of the family's 1831-position model. The record is from RNAcentral. Lineage: Eukaryota; Fungi; Glomeromycota; Glomeromycetes; Glomerales; Glomeraceae.
CCAAUAGCGUAUAUUAAAGUUGUUGCAGUUAAAAAGCUCGUAGUUGAACUUCGGGACCAAUGGGUCGGUCAUGCCGUCGGUAUGUACUGAUUUUAUUGGUUCUCACCUUCUAAGGAACCGUAAUGUCAUUAGUUUGAUGUUGCGGGGAAUUAGGACUGUUACCUUGAAAAAAUUAGAGUGUUUAAAGCAGGCUAACGCUUGAAUACAUUAGCAUGGAAUAAUGAAAUAGGACAUCAGAUUUUAUUUUGUUGGUUUCUAGGAUCGAUGUAAUGAUUAAUAGGGAUAGUUGGGGGCAUUAGUAUUCAAUUGUCAGAGGUGAAAUUCUUGGAUUUAUUGAAGACUAACUACUGCGAAAGCAUUUGCCAAGGAUGUUUUCAUUAAUCAAGAACGAAAGUUAGGGGAUCGAAGACGAUCAGAUACCGUCGUAGUCUUAACCAUAAACUAUGCCGACUAGGGAUCGGAUGAUGUUAAUUUUUUAAUGACUCAUUCGGCACCUUACG